Molecule: ribosomal RNA, 526 nt
Filed under: uncultured bacterium
Lineage: Bacteria
Description: bacterial SSU rRNA
Rfam family: Bacterial small subunit ribosomal RNA
Source: RNAcentral
UGGGCGAAAGCCUGAUCCAGCCAUGCCGCGUGGAUGAAGAAGGCCCUAGGGUUGUAAAGUCCUUUCGAUGGUGAAGAUAAUGACGGUAACCAUACAAGAAGCCCCGGCUAAUUUCGUGCCAGCAGCCGCGGUAAUACGAAGGGGGCUAGCGUUGUUCGGAAUUACUGGGCGUAAAGCGCACGUAGGCGGCCUUGUAAGUUGGGGGUGAAAUCCCGGAGCUCAACUCCGGAACUGCCUCCAAAACUACAAAGCUAGAGGAUGCGAGAGGAUAGUGGAAUUCCGAGUGUAGAGGUGAAAUUCGUAGAUAUUCGGAAGAACACCAGUGGCGAAGGCGACUGUCUGGCGCAUAUCUGACGCUGAGGUGCGAAGGCGUGGGGAGCAAACAGGAUUAGAUACCCUGGUAGUCCACGCCGUAAACGAUGAGGGCUAGUUGUCGGGCGGCAUGCCGUUCGGUGACGCAGCUAACGCAUUAAGCCCUCCGCCUGGGGAGUACGGUCGCAAGAUUAAAACUCAAAGGAAUUGACGG